ACUGGGCGCAGUGGAGCAUGCCUAUAGUCCCAGCUACUCAGGAGGCUGAGGCUGGAGGAUUGCUUGAGUAUAGGAGUUCUGGGCUGUAGUGCACUAUGCCAAUUGGGUGUCUGCACUAAGUUUGGCAUCAAUAUGGGGACCUCUCGGGAGUGGGGGAUCACCAGGUUGCCUAAGGAGGGGUGAACCAGCCUAGGAUGAAAAUGGUGCAGGUCAAAACUCCCAUGCUGAUCAGUAGUGGGACUGAGUCUGUGAAUAGCCAUUACACUCUAGCCUGGGCAAUAUAGCAAGACCCUGUCUCA
This 299-nucleotide signal recognition particle RNA is filed under the name Saimiri boliviensis boliviensis (Bolivian squirrel monkey). RNAcentral's name for it is "Metazoan signal recognition particle RNA (ENSSBOG00000005500.1)". It matches the Rfam family "Metazoan signal recognition particle RNA". Rfam says of the family: The signal recognition particle (SRP) is a universally conserved ribonucleoprotein. The record is from RNAcentral. Lineage: Eukaryota; Metazoa; Chordata; Mammalia; Primates; Cebidae.